GUAACUGACGCUGAGGCGCGAAAGCGUGGGGAGCAAACAGGAUUAGAUACCUUGGUAGUCCACGCCGUAAACGAUGAGUGCUAAGUGUUAGGGGGUUUCCGCCCCUUAGUGCUGCAGCUAACGCAUUAAGCACUCCGCCUGGGGAGUACGGCCGCAAGGCUGAAACUCAAAGGAAUUGACGGGGGCCCGCACAAGCGGUGGAGCAUGUGGUUUAAUUCGAAGCAACGCGAAGAACCUUACCAGGUCUUGACAUCCCGCUGCCCGCCUUAGAGAUAAGGCUUUCCCUUCGGGGACAGCGGUGACAGGUGGUGCAUGGUUGUCGUCAGCUCGUGUCGUGAGAUGUUGGGUUAAGUCCCGCAACGAGCGCAACCCUUGAUCUUAGUUGCCAGCAUUCAGUUGGGCACUCUAAGGUGACUGCCGGUGACAAACCGGAGGAAGGUGGGGAUGACGUCAAAUCAUCAUGCCCCUUAUGACCUGGGCUACACACGUGCUACAAUGGACGGUACAAAGGGCAGCCAACCCGCGAGGGGGAGCCAAUCCCAGAAAACCGUUCUCAGUUCGGAUUGCAGGCUGCAACUCGCCUGCAUGAAGCCGGAAUCGCUAGUAAUCGUGGAUCAGCAUGCCACGGUGAAUACGUUCCCGGGCCUUGUACACACCGCCCGUCACACCACGAGAGUUUGUAACACCCGAAGUCGGUGAGGUAACCCUUGUGGAGCCAGCCGCCGAAGGUGGGACAGAUGAUUGGGGUGAAGUCG
RNAcentral lists this ribosomal RNA (755 nucleotides) under Planococcus sp. (in: firmicutes). RNAcentral describes it as "bacterial SSU rRNA". It matches the Rfam family "Bacterial small subunit ribosomal RNA", at positions 736 to 1488 of the family's 1533-position model. The record is from RNAcentral. Lineage: Bacteria; Bacillati; Bacillota; Bacilli; Caryophanales; Caryophanaceae.